This 326-nucleotide ribosomal RNA is filed under the name uncultured eukaryote. Its description in RNAcentral is "partial 18S ribosomal RNA". It matches the Rfam family "Eukaryotic small subunit ribosomal RNA", at positions 1470 to 1796 of the family's 1831-position model. The record is from RNAcentral.
CCCUUAGAUGUUCUGGGCCGCACGCGCGCUACACUGAUGCAUUCAACGAGUCCAACCUUGACCGAGAGGUCCGGGUAAUCUUUGAAACUGCAUCGUGAUGGGGCUAGAUUAUUGCAAUUAUUAAUCUUCAACGAGGAAUGCCUAGUAAGCGUGAUUCAUCAAAUCGCGUUGAUUACGUCCCUGCCCUUUGUACACACCGCCCGUCGCUCCUACCGAUUGAGUGUGUUGGUGAGGAGUUUGGAUUGGCCUCGGAAGGUGGUUCGCCCCCGUCCGUAGCUGAGAAGUUCUCCAAACCGCCCCACUUAGAGGAAGGAGAAGUCGUAACA